CCUACGGGAGGCAGCAGUGGGGAAUAUUGGACAAUGGGGGCAACCCUGAUCCAGCCAUGCCGCGUGUGUGAAGAAGGCCCUCGGGUUGUAAAGCACUUUCAGUGAGGAAGAACGCCUGGUGGUUAAUACCCAUCAGGAAAGACAUCACUCACAGAAGAAGCACCGGCUAACUCCGUGCCAGCAGCCGCGGUAAUACGGAGGGUGCGAGCGUUAAUCGGAAUUACUGGGCGUAAAGCGCGCGUAGGUGGCUUGAUAAGCCGGUUGUGAAAGCCCCGGGCUCAACCUGGGAACGGCAUCCGGAACUGUCAAGCUAGAGUGCAGGAGAGGAAGGUAGAAUUCCCGGUGUAGCGGUGAGAUGCGUAGAGAUCGGGAGGAAUACCAGUGGCGAAGGCGGCCUUCUGGACUGACACUGACACUGAGGUGCGAAAGCGUGGGUAGCAAACAGGAUUAGAUACCCCGGUAGUC
RNAcentral lists this ribosomal RNA (465 nucleotides) under Vreelandella stevensii. RNAcentral describes it as "partial 16S ribosomal RNA". It matches the Rfam family "Bacterial small subunit ribosomal RNA", at positions 338 to 795 of the family's 1533-position model. Lineage: Bacteria; Pseudomonadati; Pseudomonadota; Gammaproteobacteria; Oceanospirillales; Halomonadaceae. The record is from RNAcentral.